CCUACGGGGGGCAGCAGUGGGGAAUAUUGCACAAUGGGGGAAACCCUGAUGCAGCGACGCCGCGUGAGUGAGGAAGUAUUUCGGUAUGUAAAGCUCUAUCAGCAGGGAAGAAAAUGACGGUACCUGACUAAGAAGCCCCGGCUAACUACGUGCCAGCAGCCGCGGUAAUACGUAGGGGGCAAGCGUUAUCCGGAUUUACUGGGUGUAAAGGGAGCGUAGACGGAGGAGCAAGUCUGAUGUGAAAAUCCGGGGCCCAACCCCGGAACUGCAUUGGAAACUGUUUAUCUAGAGUGUCGGAGAGGCAA
Molecule: ribosomal RNA, 305 nt
Filed under: uncultured bacterium
Lineage: Bacteria
Description: bacterial SSU rRNA
Rfam family: Bacterial small subunit ribosomal RNA
Source: RNAcentral